This 252-nucleotide ribosomal RNA is filed under the name Triticum aestivum (bread wheat). RNAcentral describes it as "partial small subunit ribosomal RNA". The record is from RNAcentral. Lineage: Eukaryota; Viridiplantae; Streptophyta; Magnoliopsida; Poales; Poaceae.
AUGUAUAGAGCGCUGAUCCAGCCAGAUAUACCAGUUGAUAAUAAUAAAAUGAUUUGGAAGAUGAAGACACCACUCAAGAAUAAAAUCUUUGUGUGGUACCUUCGUCGAGGAGUCAUUCUUACUAGACAUAACCUUAUUAAGAGGAACUAGCAUGGAAGUGUGGAAUGUGUUUUUUUUCACCAUGAUGAGACCAUAAAACACUUGUUCUUCCUAUGCAAAAUGGUCAUUUUAUAUGGUCAGUCAUCCAAGUAA